This is a long non-coding RNA of Dermochelys coriacea (leatherback sea turtle), 1424 nucleotides long. RefSeq lists it as uncharacterized. The transcript is spliced from 8 exons. Lineage: Eukaryota; Metazoa; Chordata; Testudines; Dermochelyidae. The record is from RefSeq and is a predicted model, not a curated record.
CACUGGAAAGAGCAGGCAGUAUUGGCAGCAGGCAGGCUGGUAGUUUGCAUGGAGAUCACGAAGUCUUUCUUUCCUGAGUAUUCUGGGAGAAAAGCAAGAAUAGCUCCGAAAACCUGGUGUCAUUCCUCCCCUGGAAUGAAUGACUGGAAGGAAUGAGGGUGUUACACAUGAAGCAGAUCGCAAGUGCAAAAUAUGCAUUUGUGCUUAAUGCAAACCUAACACAAUUCCUGUCACAUUGUAUCUAAAAGGACUGCAUAGCUACAGCUAAUAAGAGAGCAACAGCAAGGCAAAGUAAAGAAGGAGAGGCACAGACUACGGCUGCAUACAACUGUCUGUAUAUAAACUCAUUAUGUGAAUCUAAUAUUUUUGUGGAACAUGCUAUAUAAGAACAUGAGAACGGCCAACCUGGGUCAGACCAAAGGUCCAUGUAGCCCAGUAUCCUGUCUUCCAACAGUGGCCAAUGCCAGGUGCCCCAGAGGGAAUGAACAGAACAGUUAUCUAUGAUGACACCAAUGAAAAGGUUCAAAGUGAAGAAUGACCCAAAGAUGAUAAAGAUGACAAAGUAAAGAUACAUAUACAGGCUUUCUUCAUACUUGGGCUGCUGGUCUAUCUACAAAAUAAGGAGAAAUAGCAAAACGUCAGCACUAAAUAAUAAGAGACCAAUUGUCUGAAGAGGAUGUUUCUAAUGCCUCCUAAAAUUCUGCAAUUAUUUGUGUGUUUUAAUGGACACCAGGUACACAAAGCAGGUGUACUCCCCAUCCUACAAGGUUUGCAUCUGUUAUGAGAAUUCUGGUCCAGUUGCAGCUGAAGACUCCAUUAUCCUUUUGGUUCAACAGUGAGAAGUAUAGUACUGCUACUAUUUCUUCCAACUUUUCCUGAAGACUUUAGAUCCUAUCAACUAUGAAGAGCACACAAAAAAAAGUUCAGUCUUAACUAAACUGGUGCCUGGCAACUGAGUUGGCGGAAAAGUUCUCAUAGCAAAACACUUAGGAAUCUACUAUUCAAGAAGUGCGAUACAACCACUACAGUAGUCACGAACUGACCAGUCAACCACACAUCUCAUUUGGAACCCGAAGUACACAAUGAGGCAGCAGCAAAGAUGAAAAAAAAACCACCAAAGAAAGUGUGUUAAACGUAAAGUACUAAAAAAAUAAAGGGAAAGUUUAAAAAAAGAUUUGAAAAGGCCAAAUGGGUAAGUGCACAGUGUUCCACAAGAUUACACAACCAAAGACUAUGAGCACAAUUCUCAAUUGCACUUCAACUUCCACCAAGUGGCAGAAAGUGAAAUUCCCCCACCAUUAUGGAGAGGAUAAAUGAGGGUGAGGGAGCACACAGCUGGGCACAAUUAAGGGUUGCUUGAUUCUGUUCUUCAUAGGCCAUGGCAACAACAGCCAGGAUCAAAUUAAUCAGAUAGAAAGAACCCA